RNAcentral lists this transfer RNA (69 nucleotides) under Ictidomys tridecemlineatus (thirteen-lined ground squirrel). RNAcentral's name for it is "Spermophilus tridecemlineatus (thirteen-lined ground squirrel) tRNA". It matches the Rfam family "tRNA". Rfam says of the family: Transfer RNA (tRNA) molecules are approximately 80 nucleotides in length. Their secondary structure includes four short double-helical elements and three loops (D, anti-codon, and T loops). RNAcentral also lists the same sequence under 1 other name. Lineage: Eukaryota; Metazoa; Chordata; Mammalia; Rodentia; Sciuridae. The record is from Rfam by way of RNAcentral.
GGGGUUAUGGCUCAGUGGUAGAGCACUUGCCUAGCACAUAUGAGGCCCUGAGUUCAAUCCUCAGCACCA